This 172-nucleotide non-coding RNA is filed under the name Virgibacillus sp. SK37. RNAcentral's name for it is "glmS glucosamine-6-phosphate activated ribozyme aptamer". It matches the Rfam family "glmS glucosamine-6-phosphate activated ribozyme aptamer". From Rfam's summary of the family: This entry contains a glucosamine-6-phosphate activated ribozyme that is found in the mRNA for GlmS. GlmS is an enzyme that uses fructose-6-phosphate and glutamine to generate glucosamine-6-phosphate. The record is from Rfam by way of RNAcentral. RNAcentral also lists the same sequence under 1 other name. Lineage: Bacteria; Bacillati; Bacillota; Bacilli; Caryophanales; Bacillaceae.
UAAGUUUUUAAAGCGCCAGAACUAUUUUCCGUCCGCAAUGGAAAAUAGUUGACGAGGUGGGGGUUAUCGAAUUUUUUCGGCGGGUACCUCCCGAUUGCACAUCUCAGUCGUCAGGCUUUUUUCUCAAAACAAUGGGGUGACUCAUUGCACAAAGGGAAGAAGUAAGAUGUCC